GCAGCUUUAAAGUUUGAGAAAUGUCCUUCUGAAAGUGCCAUUUACAGGAAGAGGCAAGGGGACAGCUUGCUAGUUGUCGGUGUGUAUGUAGAUGGCCUUGUGAUAACAGGAAACAAAGCAUCUGACAUAGAUCAGUUCAAGAAGCAAAUGAAGACCAUGUUCAAGAUGAGCGACCUUGGUCUCUUGAGCUACUAUCUGGGG
This 201-nucleotide long non-coding RNA is filed under the name Brachypodium distachyon (stiff brome). RNAcentral's name for it is "long non-coding RNA (BDIS_LNC002329)". Lineage: Eukaryota; Viridiplantae; Streptophyta; Magnoliopsida; Poales; Poaceae. The record is from RNAcentral.